GACGAACGCUGGCGGCGUGCUUAACACAUGCAAGUCGAACGGAAAGGCCCUGCUUUCAGGGUACGCUAGUGUCGAACGGGUGAGUAACACGCGGGUGAUCUGCCCUCCACUUCGGGAUAAGCCUGGGGAACUGGGUCUAAUACCGGGGAUGAGCCCUUUUGAGGGUUGUGGGUGGAUAGUCUUUUCGGUGUAGGAUGGGCUCGCUCGCUAUCUGCUUGUUGGUGGGGUAAUGGCCUACCAAGGCGGCGGUGGGUGGCCGGCCGGGGGGGGUGGACGGCCAAAUUGGGGCUGGGAUACGGCCCAGACUCCUAAGGGAGGCAGCAGUGGGGAAUAUUGCAAAAUGGGCGGAAGCCUGAUGCAGCGACGCCGCGUGGGGGAUGACGGCCUUCGGGUUGUAAACCCCUUUCGCUAGGGAAGAAGCUUUUUGUGACGGUACCUAGAUAAGAAGCACCGGCUAACUACGUG
Molecule: ribosomal RNA, 465 nt
Filed under: uncultured bacterium
Lineage: Bacteria
Description: partial 16S ribosomal RNA
Rfam family: Bacterial small subunit ribosomal RNA
Source: RNAcentral